GAGUUUGAUCGUGGCUCAGAUUGAACGCUGGCGGCAUGCCUUACACAUGCAAGUCGAACGGCAGCAUGAUCUAGCUUGCUAGAUUGAUGGCGAGUGGCGAACGGGUGAGUAAUACAUCGGAACGUGCCCUGUAGUGGGGGAUAACUAGUCGAAAGAUUAGCUAAUACCGCAUACGACCUGAGGGUGAAAGUGGGGGACCGCAAGGCCUCAUGCUAUAGGAGCGGCCGAUGUCUGAUUAGCUAGUUGGUGGGGUAAAGGCCCACCAAGGCGACGAUCAGUAGCUGGUCUGAGAGGACGAUCAGCCACACUGGGACUGAGACACGGCCCAGACUCCUACGGGAGGCAGCAGUGGGGAAUUUUGGACAAUGGGCGAAAGCCUGAUCCAGCAAUGCCGCGUGUGUGAAGAAGGCCUCGGUUGUAAGUAC
Molecule: ribosomal RNA, 425 nt
Filed under: uncultured microorganism
Description: bacterial SSU rRNA
Rfam family: Bacterial small subunit ribosomal RNA
Source: RNAcentral